Molecule: ribosomal RNA, 334 nt
Filed under: uncultured eukaryote
Lineage: Eukaryota
Description: partial 18S ribosomal RNA
Rfam family: Eukaryotic small subunit ribosomal RNA
Source: RNAcentral
CCCUUAGAUGUCCGGGGCCGCACGCGCGCUACACUGAAGGUAUCAGCGUGGCUUUCUCCCUGACCCGAAAGGGUUGGGAAACCCGUUGAAUCUCCUUCGUGAUAGGGAUUGGGGCUUGAAAUUGUUCCCCAUGAACGAGGAAUUCCCAGUAAGCGCGAGUCAUAAGCUCGCGUUGAUUACGUCCCUGCCCUUUGUACACACCGCCCGUCGCUACUACCGAUUGAACGGUUUAGUGAGGGCCUCGGAUUGGUCUCGGCCCGCUCUUUACCGGGCGGCGCCGUUGGUCGAGAAGACGCUCGAACUUGAUCGUUUAGAGGAAGUAAAAGUCGUAACA